CACUGAUAAGAAAAUCAACAAUCAGCAAAAUCGUUCACCAACUUGAAGAAGAACCUAGUUCUCACUUAGUAUGUUUUAGACUGCUUGUAAUAGGAAGGUUCUUGAGUUGUAAUGAGUAAAUUGUUCUAGUCUCAGUAUUCUAUUAGCUGAUUUAGGAAUCACGUCUUCAAGUUAGGGAACUCGAAGACUUGGGAACACUUAUCUUGGGAAGAUUUGUGUUUUUGUAGUAAUAGGAGUUAGAAGUUUUAAUUCCUUGUUUACAAGAAGUCUUGUAAUUGUGUUGAUUGUUGAGG
RNAcentral lists this long non-coding RNA (293 nucleotides) under Capsicum annuum. Its description in RNAcentral is "long non-coding RNA (CANN_LNC013880)". The record is from RNAcentral. Lineage: Eukaryota; Viridiplantae; Streptophyta; Magnoliopsida; Solanales; Solanaceae.